GGGGGCGUAGCUCAGUUGGGAGAGCGCCUGCUUUGCACGCAGGAGGUUAGCGGUUCGAUCCCGCUCGUCUCCACCA
Molecule: transfer RNA, 76 nt
Filed under: Bacillota bacterium
Lineage: Bacteria; Bacillati; Bacillota
Description: tRNA-Ala
Rfam family: tRNA
About the family: Transfer RNA (tRNA) molecules are approximately 80 nucleotides in length. Their secondary structure includes four short double-helical elements and three loops (D, anti-codon, and T loops).
Source: RNAcentral